AGGACGAACGCUGGCGGCGUGCCUAAUACAUGCAAGUCGAACGGUCUUUCUAUGGAAGCUUGCUUCCACUGAGAAGAUAGUGGCGAACGGGUGAGUAACACGUGGGUAACCUGUCCAUAAGAGGGGGAUAACAUCCGGAAACGGGUGCUAAUACCGCAUAGUUUUCUUGAUCGCAUGAUUGAGAAAGGAAGGACGGCCUUUGUGCUGUCGCUUAUGGAUGGACCCGCGGCGUAUUAGUUAGUUGGUGAGGUAACGGCUCACCAAGACGAUGAUACGUAGCCGACCUGAGAGGGUGAUCGGCCACAUUGGGACUGAGACACGGCCCAAACUCCUACGGGAGGCAGCAGUAGGGAAUCUUCCGCAAUGGACGAAAGUCUGACGGAGCAACGCCGCGUGAGUGAAGAAAAGGUUUUCGGAUCGUAAAACUCUGUUGUCAGAGAAGAACAAGUUGGAGAGUAACUGCUCCAGCCUUGACGGUAUCUGACCAGAAAGCCACGGCUAACUACGUGCCAGCCGCCGC
Molecule: ribosomal RNA, 520 nt
Filed under: uncultured bacterium
Lineage: Bacteria
Description: bacterial SSU rRNA
Rfam family: Bacterial small subunit ribosomal RNA
Source: RNAcentral